AAUAAAUGCUCGUUGAACGAAACAGAGGAUGAGGGUUUGGUGAAAAGAUCUGCUAGUUGAUGUCGUGACGGCACAUGCAUGGUGGUGAUAAAGCCUUUGUUCAACUUAUCACGAAUGACAUGACAAUCAAUCUCCAGAAGUUUUGUUCUUUCAUGGAAGAUCGGGUUAACUGCUAUAUGCUAUGCUACUUUGUUAUCGUAAUAUAGAGCAAUCGAGAGAGAUAACUUCAAUCCAAAAUCACCAAUGAGGUAGCUCGUCCAUUGUAAUUCACAAAUGGUCAUGGCCAUUUUUCUAUACUCUACUUUAGCCGAAGAGGGGCUUACAAUGGAUUGCUUUUUUGCUUUCCAAGAUAUUAGUGAGGGUCUUGAGAAGAUAAAAAAUCUUGUUGUCGAUUUUUUUAUCACUGGGCAAGGUGCCCAAUCUGUGUCACAGAAAGCUCAAAGUUUCAAAUCAUUUACGAAGGGGAAGAAUAAACUUUUGGUAAGACGACCCUUCAAAUAUUUCACGACAUGGAACUCAGUGUGGGCACCUUGGAGUUUCCAUGAACUGGCUUAGUUUCUGUGUCGCAUGAGAGAUGUCUGGUCUCGUAAGUCCCAGGGUGUUGGUUCUGCAAGAACUUGGCUAUUCCCUACUGGAUCAUGUUUGCCCAAUCAACUCCAGUUGGUUCAAUCUUGUAUACUGCCUUGCUCUUAAUUUCAAUAUUUUCUCAUAUACAUUUGCUAUUGUGUUCCCUUUGCCUUUGCCUUUUUUCUACUUGAAUUCUAUGAAUCAUUCUGGAUAACCAUGUAACUUGAAGCAUGUUUCUCUGGUGUGUCCAUUUGCAUUACAAUAGUCACAGGUUCUAUUUUCCUUUUUGCCAAACCCCUUCUUUUUACCUUGUAAUUUCUGAAAUUGCCCUUUAACAUUCAUGGCAGAAUUAAAUCCUUUUGAUGCAUCAGUGUGAAUUUCUCUUUGAGUUUCAACCCUUGACACCAUUGAGUAUGCAUUGUUUAUACUAGACAAUGGAUCUAUCAAAAGAACUUGAUUCCUGACAUGAUCAUAAGUUUCAUUUAAUCCCAUUAAAAACUGCAUGAGUUUAUCUUCAUUAUGCAUGUCAUCCAUUGAUUUUGAUGCUCCACACUUACACACUGGUAAAGGUUUAUGACAUGCUAAUUCAUUCUAUAAUUUUUUAAGUUUAGUAAAAUACACAACAGCUAAUGCAUUGCCCUGAGUUAGAAUACUUAUCUUUCUUUUUAGCUGAUAGAGGAGUGGUCCAUUGCUCUGACCAAAUCUCCCUUUAAUUUCUUCCCACAAAUCUUUUGAAGAAGAAGUAUAAAUGAAAGCAUCCACAAGUUCCUUUAAGAGAGAACACAAGAUCAAAGAAGUCACCAUGCUGUCAACCUUCUUCCAUUUGUCAAAAGUAGCAGAUCCAACAGUAGGCAUCUCACAGCUUCCUUCAAUAAAGCCAAGUUUAUCCUUGGCUUGUGAGGCUAUUAUCAUGGAUCUACUCCAUGAUAGAUAAUUUUUCCCAGUCAAUGGUACUAUGUACAAGUACCAUACCAGGGUGGUCAGAAUUAUGCAGAUAAAGAGUAUCUUUCCCUCUUCUAGUAGCUUGACUGUUACUACCGAUAUUCAAUACUUCAGACAUUUCUUAGAAGCUUGAGCGAGGAAACUAAAAAAAUUGGAAAUUAGAUCUUAUAAGGUGAGUCCCUAUAUCAGAUUUGAUCAGAAAGAAGAAUAAUCAGUAACACAGGUUGUGCUCUGAUACCAUGAAGAAAUUCUUUAGAUAAAUAUAAACGAGUAGGAAAAGUUGUGUAUCGUAUUGAAUAAUUGAUGAGUUUAUAUAUAGCUUAGAUGAAUGAUCUAGAAAAGAAUCAAAAGUCUA
This is a long non-coding RNA of Hevea brasiliensis (rubber tree), 1864 nucleotides long. RefSeq lists it as uncharacterized. NCBI's taxonomy places the organism in Eukaryota, Viridiplantae, Streptophyta, Magnoliopsida, Malpighiales, Euphorbiaceae. The transcript has 2 exons. The record is from RefSeq and is a predicted model, not a curated record.